Molecule: RNA transcript, 1742 nt
Organism: Mus musculus (house mouse)
Lineage: Eukaryota; Metazoa; Chordata; Mammalia; Rodentia; Muridae
Gene name: RIKEN cDNA 9430097D07 gene
Exons: 3
Source: RefSeq, a predicted model, not a curated record
UGGGAUGCUGGGAGAUUCAGUCUUCCCUGUUUCCUCUUCUAUGCUGUGCUUCUCUGUGCUAGCAAGAAGGACCAGGUCAAAUGGAAGCUGAAGUCAUACCAGCUCACCCAUUCCUACUGGAGACCCAUCCUGUGUACAAAGCUGAGCGCUUGAGGUCCUUAUGGAGCCUUACGGAAUUUAUCUCAUCAUCCAAAUUUUCCUGAUGAGGAAACUGAGGAAGACCUCCGGGGGACACCCACCAGAUCGCUACCCCCUUUCAUACCUCCGUGGGGCGUGUCUUGAUCUUCCCAGAGCAGAGACGGGGCGGGGGGGUGUUCAAGCCUCUGGCCAAGGUGCCGCUUCUCUGGCUUUGGCGGUGUCUCGGAGGCCCAGAUGCAGGAAUCAGGCCCCGCCUCUGCAUGGCGAACGACCAAUCGCGACGCUCUUGUUACCACUGUGCCCAAUCUUCGAAAGGGGCGCUUGCCUUUGCCUGCCGGUUCCACCUCCACGGAUGCAGCAUACUCAGAACUCUGAUCCUGGCCCUUCAGAGCUGCCUGGCUGAGGUGUUGGUGGAAAGGCCUUGUCACGGUUGCACGAGGGGGACGAUGACCUUGGCCUGCGGGUCCCCCCUCCGAGGAUGUAGGAUCCUCUGCAUCCUGAUCGUGGUCGGACCGAGCCUCCUGGCGAUGGCUGAGGCAUGAAAUUCCCAUUGGCUGUCUCUCAGGUAAAGAAGCUAAAAGCAGAGAAAGAAGUGACCAUCUCCAGGUGGUACAGAAGUCAGAGCAUCCUUCCGUGUGAUUGAAGCGCCCACUGGAGGCCACAGCGGGAACAGACACCAGAAAUUUUUUGGUGAGCUAGCUAGAGGGACACAACAUAAUCUUUUAAAAGCAUAGAUGGGAUGAUGUCACCCUUAUACUUUAAGUAUUCAGUGACGUCUCUUGGCGGUGGAACAGAAUUCAAACUCCUCACCAUGGCAUGAGUCACCACUCUCUUGACUCACUCCAAACACCCUCCUUGCCCUCAACCCAAGCUGCAAACUUCCACCCCCAGGGUUUCCCGUUCCUGGGCUCCCAAGUAUCAGUCCUGUCUGGACUUUUUACUUGCCUUGAUCCUUCGGACCACCUUUCAGGACUCUAUGCACUUCUUCCAUACACUGGAUCAUGGCCUUUAUUCCCAUCACCCUUGGCAUGAGCAGAGAUUGUCUUGCUCAUGGAUUGGUUUAUUACAUCAAACCUCCUGAAUUGGGAGUGCCACCAGAGUGGGGACUACAUGGACCUCACAUGCCCAGUGCCCAGCACAAACUUGGGAACUGUGUGGAUUGGAAUGAUGUAGGGGGUGGGAGCGCGGAGCCCCAAGAGACCACAGUGGCUGUAGUAAUGAUAGUCCCUAGCACGCAGAGCCUUGGGACAGUGGGAGGAAUAACCCAGAGAACUAGAAACGAGCAGAAGAUGCUUAGAUAUGCUGGCUUAAGAAGGUCUAUUCAUCUUUACAAUUAUACAUAUACACGUCUGGGCACAUAUGUGUGUGGAUGCCAGUGGCACCCAGAAGUGUCCUCUGGUGCCAGAGUUGUGGGUGGUGGUCACUUAAUUCGACCUCUGACUGAACUCUGGCCCUCUGAAAUAGCUGCUGAGACAUCUCUCCAGGUCCAUAUGUCUUUUUUCUUCAUGUUUGUGUUCCUCUGUGUAGAUCAGGCUGACCUUGAGCUCACAGAAAUCCCCCUGCCUCCAAAUCCUGAAUGCCGGGAUUAAAGGGAUCCAUUACCA